Molecule: ribosomal RNA, 448 nt
Filed under: uncultured bacterium
Lineage: Bacteria
Description: bacterial SSU rRNA
Rfam family: Bacterial small subunit ribosomal RNA
Source: RNAcentral
AGCGAACGCUGGCGGCAGGCCUAACACAUGCAAGUCGAGCGCCCAGCAAUGGGAGCGGCAGACGGGAUAGUAACACGUGGGAACGUACCCUUCAGUUCGGAACAACCCAGGGAAACUUGGGCUAAUACCGAAUACGUCCGUAAGGAGAAAGAUUUAUCGCUGAAGGAUCGGCCCGCGUCUGAUUAGCUAGUUGGUGAGGUAACGGCUCACCAAGGCGACGAUCAGUAGCUGGUCNGAGAGGAUGAUCAGCAUCACUGGGACUGAGACACGGCCCAGACUCCUACGGGAGGCAGCAGUGGGGAAUAUUGGACAAUGGGCGCAAGCCUGAUCCAGCCAUGCCGCGUGGAUGAUGAAGGCCCUAGGGUCGUAAAGUCCUUUCGACGGGGAAGAUAAUGACGGUACCCGUAGAAGAAGCCCCGGCUAACUUCGUGCCAGCCGCCGCCGUAAC